CGCGCCGGCCGGGCCGCCGCCCCGGGAGCGGUUCUUCGGAAUCGGGUCCCGGGGAGGAACGUCCGGACACCGCAGGGCACCGUGCUUCCUAACAGGAAGGCGCUGACGCUUCGGCGUCGGUGACGGCACGUGCAACAGAAAACAGACCAGCCGAUGGCUGACGGCUCGCGCCGCCGGCACAGGUGAUGGGUGAAACGGUGGGGUAAGAGCCCACCAGCGCGGGCGGCGACGUCCGCGGCUGGGCAAACCCCACGGGGUGCAAGGCCACGCAGCGUCCGCCCCGGCUCCGGCCGGGAAAGGGUGCCCGCCCGAGGACGCGGGUAGGCCGCUCGAGGCCGCCGGCGACGGCGGUCCCAGAUAGAUGGCGGCACAGCGCCGCGGCUCCGACGGCCGCGGCGCGGACAGAAUCCGGCGUACAGGCCGGCGCGCAGU
This 432-nucleotide RNase P RNA is filed under the name Rubrivirga marina. Its description in RNAcentral is "Bacterial RNase P class A". It matches the Rfam family "Bacterial RNase P class A". From Rfam's summary of the family: Ribonuclease P (RNase P) is a ubiquitous endoribonuclease, found in archaea, bacteria and eukarya as well as chloroplasts and mitochondria. Its best characterised activity is the generation of mature 5'-ends of tRNAs by cleaving the 5'-leader elements of precursor-tRNAs. The record is from Rfam by way of RNAcentral. Lineage: Bacteria; Pseudomonadati; Rhodothermota; Rhodothermia; Rhodothermales; Rubricoccaceae.